This 460-nucleotide ribosomal RNA is filed under the name uncultured bacterium. Its description in RNAcentral is "partial 16S ribosomal RNA". It matches the Rfam family "Bacterial small subunit ribosomal RNA", at positions 338 to 795 of the family's 1533-position model. The record is from RNAcentral.
CCUACGGGUGGCUGCAGUGAGGAAUAUUGGUCAAUGGACGAGAGUCUGAACCAGCCAAGUAGCGUGAAGGAUGACUGCCCUAUGGGUUGUAAACUUCUUUUAUAUGGGAAUAAAACGUUCCAUGUGUGGGAUUUUGUAUGUACCAUAUGAAUAAGGAUCGGCUAACUCCGUGCCAGCAGCCGCGGUAAUACGGAGGAUCCGAGCGUUAUCCGGAUUUAUUGGGUUUAACGGGAGCGUAGGUGGUUUGUUAAGUCAGUUGUGAAAGUUUGCGGCUCAACCGUAAAAUUGCAGUUGAAACUGGCAGUCUUGAGUACAGUAGAGGUGGGCGGAAGUCGUGGUGUAGCGGUGAAAUGCUUAGAUAUCACGAAGAACUCCGAUUGCGAAGGCAGUUCACUGGACUGCAACUGACACUGAGGCUCGAAAGUGUGGGUAUCAAACAGGAUUAGAUACCCUAGUAGUC